CCACACCACUUGCUGGGAUUACUUCCUGUGU
Molecule: non-coding RNA, 31 nt
Filed under: Mus musculus (house mouse)
Lineage: Eukaryota; Metazoa; Chordata; Mammalia; Rodentia; Muridae
Source: RNAcentral